This 261-nucleotide unclassified non-coding RNA is filed under the name Hevea brasiliensis (rubber tree). The record is from RNAcentral. Lineage: Eukaryota; Viridiplantae; Streptophyta; Magnoliopsida; Malpighiales; Euphorbiaceae.
GAAAGUAAAAACCAUCAACUAACACAGACGCCAAGAAUUAUUCAACUCCAUUAACAAAUAACAAGAUUUCAUUGUUUCCCAAGAAAAUGAGAAAUAAUCAUUAAAUGAGACUUUUGUCAAAAAAAAUAUUUAACUAUACUUUAGCUUUUGUUUCAUUUCAGUCAUUCAGUGGAAAACAGGUUAAAUUUUAGCAGAUGGUGGGCCAUGUCCCUUUCAAUCGCAGCACCAACACACACUCCUCCCCCAACAAAAGCCAAAAGA